RNAcentral lists this unclassified non-coding RNA (535 nucleotides) under Hevea brasiliensis (rubber tree). The record is from RNAcentral. Lineage: Eukaryota; Viridiplantae; Streptophyta; Magnoliopsida; Malpighiales; Euphorbiaceae.
UUUUGGUUAGUCAUGACUAAACAACAUUACGAAUUUACGAUGUAAAGAAGUUCCUCCACUUGUGCACAGGCGUAGGAGGUAUCUUCUGUAUCGUUUUUAGUUUUGUAUCUCCAUAUCUCUGUAAUUUCAAUUUUCAAUUUUCCCUGGGAGGUGUUCCCGCUUCUAGUUGAUUCAGUUUUUGUUCAGGGCCAGGUAUGGUUGCCCAAGGGAGUACAAGCGCUGACGUAUCUUGGUUUGUGGAAAUUUUUGAAGCGCCCUUCUCUUCUAUAACCGACACUAUUUAAUAUUUAUUACUUUAUCAAGUCUUCGUCUUCUCAUCGCCUGUGAUUGUCUAUGGAUUCUUCAUAACAGAAUUAGCCAACUUGUUUUUCUUGAAGCUGUUGACUUUUGUCAUUGAAACAUAGGAAAUAUCGUUUUUCGGUGUGUUGAGUACUGCCAUUUUGCAUGCUUGCAACAUAUAGUGUGAAUGCCCCCGUAUUCAAACCAAAACCAAAAUCCACAAGUUCAGCUUUCUCAGAGAAAAAAAAAAAAAAAA